AGAGUUUGAUCCUGGCUCAGAACGAACGCUGGCGGCGUGCUUAAUACAUGCAAGUCGCGCGUGAAAGAGGAGCAAUCCUCGAGUAAAGCGGCAAACGGGUGAGUAACACGUAAGUAAUCUACCUCCAAAUCCGGGAUAACCUUGCCAACGCGGGGCUAAUACCGGAUGUGGUCCCAUGGUUCAUGAUCGUGGGAUUAAAGAUGACCUCUAUUUAUAAGUUAUCGCUUGGAGAUGAGCUUGCGGCCCAUUAGCUAGUUGGCGGGGUAAUGGCCCACCAAGGCUUUGAUGGGUAGCCGGCCUGAGAGGGUGUACGGCCACAUUGGGACUGAGAUACGGCCCAGACUCCUUCGGGAGGCAGCAGUAGGGAAUUUUGCGCAAUGGACGAAAGCCUGAUGCAGCAACGCCGCGUGAGUGAUGAAGGUCUUCGGAUUGUAAAGCUCUGUUGAGUGGGAAGAAAAGUUACAGGUCUAAUAUAUCUGUAGCCUGACGGUACCAUUUGAGGAAGCCCCGGCUAACUACGUGCCAGCAGCCGCGGUAAUACGUAGGGGGCGAGCGUUGUUCGGAAUUACUGGGCGUAAAGGGAGCGUAGGCGGGUCAGUAAGUUAGAAGUUUAAUGCACAGGCUUAACCUGUGACUUGCUUUUAAUACUGCUGAUCUUGAGUAUGGAAGAGGGAGAUGGAAUUCCAGGUGUAGCGGUGGAAUGCGUAGAUAUCUGGAAGAACACCAUUAGCGAAGGCGGUCUCCUGGUCCAAUACUGACGCUGAGGCUCGAAAGCUAGGGGAGCAAACAGGAUUAGAUACCCUGGUAGUCCUAGCCGUAAACU
Molecule: ribosomal RNA, 823 nt
Filed under: uncultured bacterium
Lineage: Bacteria
Description: bacterial SSU rRNA
Rfam family: Bacterial small subunit ribosomal RNA
Source: RNAcentral